AACUCACUGCCUGGCAUCACGCUGAACAGGCAGGGAGGACUGGAACUCAGCCCUCCAGAAACCAGACAGCAGACCAGAAUUCGAGUUCUCUGCUCACUGGAGAUGAUCAGGCUCCGACCCUCAGUUCAGGCUGAGGCCCUUCAACUAGACUCCUGCAUUCGGGACCUGGACAGAAGAAAAAGUACACAAAAGGAGGGACUGAAAAGAAGAAAGGGGGAAAAGGUACAGGCACUGACAAAGCAACAGACUUCAUUGGGAAGGGGCGCCCAGGUGGAGAGAAACAGCAUAAGGGAACCCAGGAGAACUGCUCUGCCACGUGGCUCACGGUCUUGGAUUUUAUGGUGAUGGGGUUAUUUUCCAGGCCUCUGGAAAUUGUCUCUGGCCAGUCAUCUUGCUUGAUCCAUCUUUGGUCUUAGGAUCCUUUCUGGAGGUGCAGGCAUCUCUCAGCCAAGACGGAUUCUAGGGAGGAUUCUGGCAAGCUGAUAGGACAUAUGGACUGUCGUCUCCUCUCCCCUUUGGACCUUCCCCCAAUUCUUCUGGUUGAUGGUAUCUUGUAAGUGCUGCAUUCCUCACCAGGACUUCUGGUUGUAAGCCAAUUCAUGCAAAUGGUCUGUAUCAGGCCAGGCUAGGGCCCGUGGUUUUGGUCAGUGGUUCCCAUAACAGAGCCUUUGUGGAGGAUUUUCCCCCCUCACGUUUGUCUCAUUCAGUCAGUCUUUUGCGCUGCCUCUAACCAAGAUUUCAGCAUCUCUGAAUUCACUUCUUUGGGCUAUCUAUCCGGUGAUGAAGAGUGAGCUCAUCACCUGUUGGGACUGACAAGCCCUCUUGAUUCUUUGAAAGUGGGUCCUUGUCUUUGGACAUUAUUUUUCACUCCAGGAGACUGCCAGUGACAUCAACGUCUGUGACAGAGGGCUCCAUCUCUGUUAUCAUGGGGGUCCUGGCCUUUGCUGGCUUCAGGGUGUGAACUAGGAGGGGCAUGUGGAGUCUUCAGCUUGGGCAGUGCCCCAUUCAUGUCUUGUCACUGAGUGAGGCUGGGUUUCCUAUUUAUAGAUGCAAGCAGGAUUUUAAGGAAGUAGCAAGAACAAUCAGGUUCUUGGAAGUAUGCUCUGUUGCAGACACCCAUUAAAAUCACCUCCCAGUUGAUUUCACUCCCAUAUGGGGUCUGCAAUUUGUCUGGGUGACAGGAGCAUGCAUGGGGUAGGGUUGGCCAGGGCUGUCCAGGUGUCAGGAGAGGCUCGUCUUCCCCCACCUAGCUGUCCUGACCAGGACUCUAACACUGUCCUUCUGUCUUUCUCCUGCUCUCCCAGUCACUUGCCUCUUCACCAGCCUCCUCCACUGAGGCUACCAGGUCCCGCAUGUUGCCUCUUUCCAAGGAUUAAACCCAGGCCCUUGUUCCCCAGACCUAUGCAUAAGGCCCUGACACAUCGAUCACCUGAACCCACCAAGCUGGUGACCCACCCAAGCCUGCAUCCUGUCCUUCUCCCAGCGCCCCUGUGUCCCCAAACCAUACAGGCCCCCUCCUGAAUAGAGAUUCAAGUGAAUCAGUGACGAGAAAGUGAAAGUUGCUCAGUCAUGUCCGACUCUUUGCGACCCCAUGGAUUAUACAGUCCAUGGAAUUCUCCAGGCCAGAAUACUAGAGUGGGUAG
Molecule: long non-coding RNA, 1643 nt
Organism: Capra hircus (goat)
Lineage: Eukaryota; Metazoa; Chordata; Mammalia; Artiodactyla; Bovidae
Exons: 3
Source: RefSeq, a predicted model, not a curated record